UAGGAACAAAUCUCUUUAACAAACCCCAAAAUAAAGCUCUGGUAUAUGCAUAUGCAUAUUUAGAGAAAAAUACAUUUGUUUUGUUUCUGGAAUUGGGAACGGGGAGAGAAGAGAAAUCAAUAUAACUUUUACUACUCAUCAGAUCAGCCAAGCAUCGUUGGAAUUCACGAAAAUUUAACGGGUAGACUAGAGAGAGGAAUGUGAAGUUAGGAAUCUGAAAUUUUUGGGUUUUCCAUUGGAAGAGAGAGUGACGGCAACGUGGAGUGACUGGAGGGUUGACCGGACAGGGGCGAAUGAACUCCGAGAGCGGAAGGAUGAUGGCAGCGGUGGUAGAGAACCGAAUGACAGGAAGACCGUCGGCCGGACGGCGACGACUCCUACUUUGAUCAGCAGCCUCGCAACCAACAACAGCAGCAGCGCAGGGCGACAGUGCCUGCGUCGUCGGCCUGGACGUGAAGCAACUGCGGACAACAAGCAGAGGGCACGACAGCAACUGAUCCUUGGCGGCGACGGCGGCGAUCAAUUAAAGGCCGUGUCUCAGUGGCUGAACAACGCGUUGAAGGAGAAGGCGGUGCUUGCUGCAAUAGGGAAUGGUGGCGGAUAGCAGCUCGCAUCGGCAAAUCAGCGAAAAAAAAACGGUGGCGGCGGUGCUGAGUUAUGUCGGAGAGAAGGAGAGGGAUUGCAGACAUGAGUGAGCCUCUGAAUUUGUGAGAUAUUGGAGAAGAAAGUUGAGAUUGAGAGAGAGUCCGAGAGAGGAGAGGAGACGGCAUUGGCUGGAGAGAUUUGGGAAUUUGAUGUGAUACCGGGCAUGAGACGACAGCGGUGGUGAGAUCUGCUGGACGCCGGCGACACGAAGGAGGGACAGAGAAGAGAGAUGGGACAGCAGCCGUGAAUUCAUCAGAGAUGGUGUGCCAUCGCUGCUGGUAAAAGGGAAAGAGAGAGGGAGUGUUGUGUUGGGGAAGAAAGAGAAUGAAUCAAGGACUGUGUUGAUUCCAAUUUUGGGUUGUAUUGAUUUCAACUUGGGAAUUUCUGACUGUGAGAGACUUAGAAGAGGGAAUUUGGGGAUUUUCAUGUUUCUGGGAACAAAUACAGAGAGAGUGACCGAUAGGAAUAGAUGAAGAGAGUUCUUUUCUUUGUUUUGUUGGGCCAACUUUAAAAUAUUAGGAAUUGGGCCAAAGAAAUAAAGGGAUAGUGUAUGGAAUUUGGGCCAGUAGCUGGGAGCUUCACGAAUUGAAUUAAAGAAUCAUAUUGUUGUGAUAGAGUCGGCUGACCUUAUGAUUAACGUACGAGGAUUUCAGAAUUUUCUAAGUAAUGACGAAAGGGGGAAUUUUUUGCAAGCUAUUUGAAAACAAAACGGCGGAAAGACGAGUAGAGGAUUUAAGAGAACGAGGUUGAGCGGUGACGAGCGCCGUGGGUGUUGAGCAUAAAAGUGAAG
Salvia splendens (bonfire salvia) is the source of this 1435-nucleotide long non-coding RNA. RefSeq lists it as uncharacterized. The transcript has 3 exons. NCBI's taxonomy places the organism in Eukaryota, Viridiplantae, Streptophyta, Magnoliopsida, Lamiales, Lamiaceae. The record is from RefSeq and is a predicted model, not a curated record.